GGUUGUCAAGCACUGGAACAGGCUGCCCAGGGAAGUGGUGGUGUCACCAUCCCUGGAGGUAUUUAAAAGACGUGUAGAUGGGGCACUUAGGGACACAGUUUAGUGGUGGAUUUGGCAGUGUUAGGUUUAUGGCUGGACCUGAUGACCUUAAAGAUCUUUUCC
Aquila chrysaetos chrysaetos is the source of this 162-nucleotide long non-coding RNA. RefSeq lists it as uncharacterized. The transcript is spliced from 3 exons. NCBI's taxonomy places the organism in Eukaryota, Metazoa, Chordata, Aves, Accipitriformes, Accipitridae. The record is from RefSeq and is a predicted model, not a curated record.